This 988-nucleotide ribosomal RNA is filed under the name uncultured Bacillota bacterium. RNAcentral's name for it is "bacterial SSU rRNA". It matches the Rfam family "Bacterial small subunit ribosomal RNA", at positions 505 to 1501 of the family's 1533-position model. Lineage: Bacteria; Bacillati; Bacillota. The record is from RNAcentral.
GUGCCAGCAGCCGCGGUAAUACGUAGGUGGCAAGCGUUGUCCGGAAUUAUUGGGCGUAAAGGGCGAGUAGGCGGCCGAUUAUGUCAGAUGUGAAAGGCUAGGGCUUAACCCUAACAUGGCAUUUGAAACUGAUUGGCUUGAGUGUAGGAGAGGGAAGCGGAAUUCCUAGUGUAGCGGUGAAAUGCGUAGAUACUAGGAGGAACACCAGUGGCGAAGGCGGCUUCCUGGCCUAUUACUGACGCUGAUGCGCGAAAGCGUGGGGAGCAAACAGGAUUAGAUACCCUGGUAGUCCACGCCGUAAACGAUGGGUGCUAGGUGUGGGAGGUAUCGACCCCUUCCGUGCCAUAGUUAACGCAAUAAGCACCCCGCCUGGGGAGUACGGUCGCAAGACUGAAACUCAAAGGAAUUGACGGGGGCCCGCACAAGCAGCGGAGCGUGUGGUUUAAUUCGACGCAACGCGAAGAACCUUACCAAGGCUUGACAUCCCUCGCAAUCUGUAGAGAUAUAGAGUUCCCUUCGGGGACGAGGAGACAGGUGGUGCACGGUUGUCGUCAGCUCGUGUCGUGAGAUGUUGGGUUAAGUCCCGCAACGAGCGCAACCCUUGUACUUAGUUGCCAUCAUUAAGUUGGGCACUCUAAGUAGACUGCCGGUGACAAACCGGAGGAAGGUGGGGAUGACGUCAAAUCAUCAUGCCCCUUAUGUCUUGGGCUACACACGCGCUACAAUGGUCUGUACAGAGGGCAGCGACACCGCGAGGUGAAGCGAAUCCCAUAAAACAGAUCUCAGUUCGGAUUGCAGGCUGCAACUCGCCUGCAUGAAGUCGGAGUUGCUAGUAAUCGCGGAUCAGAACGCCGCGGUGAAUGCGUUCCCGGGCCUUGUACACACCGCCCGUCACACCACGAAAGUUGGUAACACCCGAAGUCGGUGAGCAAAACGCAGCCGCCGAAGGUGGGACUAAUGAUUGGGGUGAAGUCGUAACAAGGUAACC